CACGCUGGCGGCAUGCCUAAUACAUGCAAGUCGAGCGAACGGAUGAGGAGCUUGCUCCUCUGACGUUAGCGGCGAAUGGGUGAGUAACACGUGGGCAACCUGCCCUGUAGUUGGGGAUAACUCCGGGAAGCCGGGGCUAAUACCGAAUGAUUAAUUCUUUCUCAUGAAAGGAUUCUGAAAGACGGCUUCGGCUGUCGCUACGGGAUGGGCCCGCGGCGCAUUAGCUAGUUGGUAAGGUAACGGCUUACCAAGGCGACGAUGCGUAGCCGACCUGAGAGGGUGAUCGGCCACACUGGGACUGAGACACGGCCCAGACUCCUACGGGAGGCAGCAGUAGGGAAUCAUCCACAAUGGACGAAAGUCUGAUGGUGCAAUGCCGCGUGAGCGAAGAAGGUUUUCGGAUCGUAAAGCUCUGUUAUGAGGGAAGAACAAGUACAGGAUUAACUGUCUGUACCUUGACGGUACCUCAUUAGAAAGCCACGGCUAACUACGUG
Molecule: ribosomal RNA, 494 nt
Filed under: uncultured Caryophanales bacterium
Lineage: Bacteria; Bacillati; Bacillota; Bacilli; Caryophanales
Description: bacterial SSU rRNA
Rfam family: Bacterial small subunit ribosomal RNA
Source: RNAcentral